AGCAAAAGAAACCAACAGGGAUUGCCCCAGUAACGGCGAGUGAAGCGGCAACAGCUCAAAUUUGAAAUCUGGCCCUUUUGGGUCCGAGUUGUAAUUUGUAGAGGAUGCUUUUGGCAAGGUGCCGCCCGAGUUCCCUGGAACGGGACGCCACAGAGGGUGAGAGCCCCGUCUGGCUGGCCACCGAGCCUCUGUAAAGCUCCUUCGACGAGUCGAGUAGUUUGGGAAUGCUGCUCAAAAUGGGAGGUAUAUGUCUUCUAAAGCUAAAUAUUGGCCAGAGACCGAUAGCGCACAAGUAGAGUGAUCGAAAGAUGAAAAGCACCUUGAAAAGAGGGUUAAAUAGUACGUGAAAUUGUUGAAAGGGAAGCGCUUGUGACCAGACUUGGGCGCGGCGGAUCAUCCGGGGUUCUCCCCGGUGCACUUCGCCGUGUCCAGGCCAGCAUCAGUUCGUCGCGGGGGAAAAAGGCUUCGGGAACGUGGCUCCCCUGGGAGUGUUAUAGCCCGUUGCAUAAUACCCUGCGGUGGACUGAGGACCGCGCAUCUGCAAGGAUGCUGGCGUAAUGGUCACCAGCGAC
Molecule: ribosomal RNA, 572 nt
Filed under: Trichoderma citrinoviride
Lineage: Eukaryota; Fungi; Ascomycota; Sordariomycetes; Hypocreales; Hypocreaceae
Description: eukaryotic LSU rRNA
Rfam family: Eukaryotic large subunit ribosomal RNA
Source: RNAcentral